Molecule: ribosomal RNA, 381 nt
Filed under: uncultured bacterium
Lineage: Bacteria
Description: bacterial SSU rRNA
Rfam family: Bacterial small subunit ribosomal RNA
Source: RNAcentral
GACGAACGCUGGCGGCGUGCUUAACACAUGCAAGUCGAGCGGUAAGGCCCUUUCGGGGGUACACGAGCGGCGAACGGGUGAGUAACACGUGGGUGACCUGCCCUCAGCUCUGGGAUAAGCCUGGGAAACUGGGUCUAAUACCGGAUAUGACUCCAUGACGCAUGUUGUGGGGUGGAAAGCCUUGUGCGGCUGAGGAUGGGCCCGCGGCCUAUCAGCUUGUGGUGGGGGAUGGCCUACCAAGGCGACGACGGGUAGCCGGCCUGAGAGGGCGACCGGCCACACUGGGACUGAGACACGGCCCAGACUCCUACGGGAGGCAGCAGUGGGGAAUCUUGCGCAAUGGGCGAAAGCCUGACGCAGCGACGCGCGUGAGGAUGACGC